GAUUCGUGAUGACUCGUCACUCGAGGAGGACCAGGAGCGUAAUGAUUAUUACUGAAGCUUUCGACGAGGACCCGGACUGAAUGCAUGACCAGAUGAGGGUCGAUGAUGGAAGCAUAGGGUAUGGGUGUUUAGAGCCUACUAAGGUUGGGUGUUAGUGUCAUAGCUCUGAAUCGUCAUUUGUACUUUUGGGACAGGGUAGUUUCCGACAGAUUGCUUUUCGGUGUGGUUCUCCGUUGAUGGGAAUCGCAUGGUGUAGUCGGACGUAAGAAGUCUUUUUGGAAGCCGUUUUGGGCUGACUUACUUUUCGAAGGACUGUAUUUAUAAAACUUAUGACUCUAUUUAUGAGUCGCACUUGUUUGCCGUUGGGCAACACUUUUAGUUACUUGAUGUUACUUUCCGUCACUUGAGGACACUCGUGACGAUGUUUUUAGUUGCAGCGAGGGCUGUGCUUGUAUUGUAUAUUAAUCGCUGUUAAUUGCGAUUGGGUUGAGUCUUUAUUUCGACAAGUCUUUUUAUUUAAACAAAAACGAAAAAAAAAUACCUGCUUUUCCACUUUACUUUAUUUUAUUUUCGAGUUACUAAAGUGACGCCACCGAAAUCGGGGUGUUACAUUGUGGUAUCAGAGCUUGUCGAGUCUUUCGGGAGUCUUUGGGGAAUAGGUCUUCUGUGCUAGGUUGUGUGACUCUGCAAAGAGUGAAAAUUGAUUGUCUGCCGAGCGAUUUUUUGCUUAGAAUUGAUUGAAGUUAGUGCUUAAUCAUAUUGUAUAGUUAUGUUAGAUGCUAUCUUAUGAUUAGUACUAACUGUUUGUUUAACUAAACAGAACAUGGUGAACAUGAACCAACUCGCUGGGGCAAUGACUGCUAUGGCCCAGGCAAUGACAAAUCAAACUGCGGAGAACGCUCAGUGGCGUGCUGACAAGGCUGAACGUGAGCGUCAUAAGCGUGAGAGGGAGGUAGCCCUAGACCAGAAUAGGGGGCUGACUGAUUUCAGGCGACAGGAUCCGCCCAAGUUCACGGGGGGACUGACCCAGACAGAGCGGACCUAUGGAUCCAAGAGAUUGAAAAGAUUUUUGGGGUACUGCAUACCGCCGAAGGGGCUAAGGUGGGCCUGGCAUCUUACCUACUACUAGGAGAUGCUGAGUACUGGUGGAGGGGCGCCAGAGGGAUGAUGGAGUCCAAUCACGAGGAAGUGAAUUGGAACUCGUUCCGAGCUGCGUUCCUAGACAAGUAUUUUCCGACUAGUGCCCGAGAUGAGAGAGAAGCGCAAUUUUUGACUCUUUGUCAAGGGAGCAUGACCAUACCUGAGUAUGCUUCCAAACUGGAGUCAUUGGCAAAGCACUUCCAAUUUUUCAAUGACCAUGUGGACGAGCGCUAUAUGUGCAAGAGGUUUAUUAACGGACUACGAGCUGACAUCGAAGAUUCGGUGAGGCCGCUAGGGAUUGUGCGAUUUCAACCUUUGGUUGAGAAGGCAACAGAAGUUGAACUUAUGAAGAACAAGAAGAUUAAUAGAACAGGCACUGGGGGACCAAUGAGGUCGAACUUUCAAAAUAAUCAAGGGAAAGAGAGAUUCCGACAGGAGAAGCCGUAUCAACGUCCUUUAGAGGAAGGUUUUACCUCGGGGCAGUAUAAGCCCAUAAAUGCUACCGGAGGAACAGGAAACAAGACUUCGGGUCAAGGAGUGACGUGUUACAGGUGCAAGAAGGUGGGGCACUACACUAACAAGUGUCCAGACGGAAGACCUCUAUGUUUCAACUGCAACCGUCCGGGGCAUCAAGCCAAGGAUUGCAAUGUAACCAAGGUUGAGCCAUCUGUGCAUACGGUGAGGGGAAGACGUUCUACUGCACGGGGAAGAGUCCAUGUCUUGUGCGGCGAGGGAGCUGAUGGAUUAGUCAGAGGAGAGCGCAAGAACGAUGGUAACUUUCUAACUAUUCUUUCUCAUUCUAGUAUGGUAUACUCUUCGUUACCCCCGUAGCGUGUGCAACACGCUUGAACUUGCUUUUACCGCUAAGCUUUGACCUUAUAGUUAUUACCCCUACUAAGAAUUUAUUUGACUGCUGCUCGUGUUUUAACUAUAGUAGUUACACGAGGUUUAGAAUAACACGCUAAGCCUAGAAAGUAGUUUUGCACCGCUGCGUUUAUAAGGAAGCUAGUAGCUGAAGAACGAAUCUUAGAGAGAUUCCUUAUGGGUAGUAUACGUGUUAUGUUGAGGGUGCGUAGUUCCGUAGCGGGACCGUUAAGGAUUGAAUGUCGGGAUAAUGGUGACUACUGGACGAUAGGAACUCAUUGACUGUUCCAGUGGGUUUUUCUAAAUUUUCACCUUCGAUGUAUUAGGCUUGAUCAACUUAAUAUUGAGGGGGUGAUAUUCGGAAUCACAGCUGGUAAUGGACUUUGAUAGAAGGAUGUGUAAGAUGAAUUUGAAUUGAUCGAGGAUUAGUCGGAUUUGGGAGGAAAGUUCGUGUUAAGCACUUGAUUUUAAAAGAUUAAGAUUUAAAUCUUUGGAAGUCGAUGAGUGUCGUAUAGACAUUAAUUGGUUAGUUCGUGUGAUUACUCCAAGUAGAGGUAGACUAAGUCAAGAGAUUUAAUGCUGGAAAAAUAUUAAGUAUUUUCUCGGAAUUAUGAAGUCAUAGGUUAUGUGAUUUCGGAGUGGAAUUGUUAGAGACUAAAUAGGUUGCAUUUAAUAUCAGGUUAUAGAUGAUCACUUGAUGAUGACAAGAUAGAGAAGAAUUAACUCUGAGCUAGAUUGUUGUAGUCGGGUUCGAGGAAUAAGUUUUGCUAAGCGCUUGAUUUAUUUGUGGAGACAUUAUAGUCUUAAGAGAUGAAUUUUCACUUGAAAAGUGUUGAAUUAAUGAUUAAGUUAGAAAAAUAAAGUUUUAGUAUAAGUUGAAUACUUGAGAUUGUUGAUAUGGAUUUCAGAGAAACAUGCUAAGGUUACUAAGUGAGAUUUACUAAGAUGGAUUGAAAUCUUAGGGUUAAGAUUGACCUUGAGAGUUGAGAAUCACGUACGAGUAGGAGAUCUUAUGGUUGUAGGUGUGACAAUAGGAUUUGAAUCUUAGAAGAUUGGAGAUCUGAAGAUGAGUUUCGGGUAAAGACCAUUGAGGUAUAGUAUAAGAGAGAUCUUGAAGUAAAGGAAUUCUGAGUUGUGUAGAGUGUUAAGGUUGGUUAUAAGUUGGGGAUCGAUUGAUGUUGAUUAUGGGGUUGCUGAUAUGAUGAGCCAUGUGAUAAGAUUCGAAUGAUGUUAGCAUAAUAAGUUAUGAUUGUGAAUAUCAGGAUCAAGAUGUGAAUGUGAAAGCAUGACGACACUGGUCAGGUCGUUUAUGUAAGCAAAUGAGUCAUAGUUUUAAGAAAUGGAUAUUCAUUUAAGAAGUAUUGGAGGAUUAAAGGCCAUUAGAGGACCAAACUUGGAGAAGGUUUAGGUUUUAAAUCCAUGAAUCUCUGUCUUAAGUGUGUAGGACUCAAAGUUUGUCAGGUUUUGAUCGAGAGACUAAGUAUCGGAUUGAUUGGAGGAUGAUCAAGUUACAGAAAGGAAAGUGUUAGUAUUAAGAUGAAUACUUGAAGUUGUUAUAUUUGGACGAGUUUCGUAGAGUUUAAGAGUGAAUGGAACUUUGUUAUGGAUUUUGAUGAUGCAUGCUAGGGUUAGCAAGUGAAUUUUACUAAGUUGAAUGAGAAUCCUAGGGCUAAGGUCGAUCUAGUGAGCUGAGAUUCAUGUACACUUAAGAGAUUUAGUGGUGUUAGCGGUUACGAUAGCAGUUAAAUCUCAGAAGGUUGAAGGAUCAGAUGAUGAAAUGACUAGUAAAAUCCCUUGAGGUAUAGUUAUGAUUUAAUCUUCUAGGGGAUGAGUUCUGAUUUGUGCGAAGUGUUAGAGAUUUCAGUAAGUGUAAAUUGGUUUGAAUGAGGAUAGUUACGAAGUUAGAGGUAAUGAUUACUGGACUAGUGGAUUCCAAGGAAAUAAUUCGUCUAGGAGUUACCACGCGAUCGAGUUGAAUUUUGGAUCAUAAGUGAACAUCACAAGGACAAAACAGUUGAGGGAAAAAGAGAUUGUGUUGUGCAAGUUAUUUGGAACAAAGACACGGACGAUGCUAUAUGGGAGAGAGAGGAAAAAGAUCAAGGAAUAAUAUCCGGAACUUUUUACUGAACCUUAAGUUUCGAGGACGAAACUUUCUUUUUGGAGGGUAGUAAUGUGAGACCCAAGUUUUUAAGUUUGGAAUAAACCGAAUAAAAUUCCUUUUCACGAUUAAUUUGAGGUAACGUGAAGGAAAACCUGAACAAGUGUCUAUUGAAUGGAAUAAAUUUGUGAAGGAGAAAGUUCAGGAAAAAGCUAAGGAUGGUAUCCAAGUCGAUAAAGGUUAUAGCACGGUUAGUAUUCGCUUUAACCUAGGUCAAGAACGCUAGGAAAUAGCUAAUUUACUCUUUAAGGCACGAUGAAAACUAAUUCCAAAAAUUUUCAGAGAAAUGUUAGAACUUCUCUUAUUCGUCUAUAAACGAGCGUUUCGAUACGAAACCCUAGAAUGUAAGAACGUCAAAUUCCAAUACUCGGAAGUUUGCCGAAACCGAAUCACUGAUAGUUCAGAAACCCUAAAAUCAACGGACGAUGAAGACUUUUUCUAUUCGGAGCUUCAAAUAAAGAUUUCAUCCGCGUACGCCCACUCUAAUCGACGUUCCAGAUCUUUCUUCAGAAGGAAGUUUCUGCAUCCGAGGUCAAAAUCAUAAAGUGCAUAAAGUGCAUUUUAAGCCGGUACACAUUAAAAACAAGCCUCGAAAACCAAAAAUCAUACUGAUAUUUCUUUGGAGAAUUAGAAGAUUCAGCGGGAAGAAUAUCGUGUCUAAAAUACGUUGGAAUCAGUAGGAAAAAUCGGAUUCGCGAAACUCUCAUUUUUCCGCAUUUUCCAUUUCUUAUAUAUAGUAUGAAAAAUGAAAAAAAAAUGAAAAAAAAUAGCUUCACAACACACACACACACGGCCGAGACAUUGAAGAGGAAAAAGGAAGAAAAGUGAUUUUUCCAAUUCUUGACCGAUCGUCGUUCCGUUCGUUGCUACGCGUAGACAUCGAGGUACUGAUGCUAUCCCUCACUUCUGAUCGUCAGAUCUGUCGACUUUUUCUAUGUCUUUCUGUGCUCAAAGUUUUGAGCUUUUUGUAAAACUGUCCAAAUAAGCUGAUUUUAGUGUCUAAACUUAUUGCCUACGUGCUCUAGAGCGUGAAUAUCCGGUUGUUUUCUGCUGAAUGUCGCCGAAAUGCCGCCGGGAUCAAUUUCUGUUGGAAAAACCCAUUUCUGGGUAAAGUUCCGUUCUUUAAGCUGGAAAUUCACGACUGAGCUUAGCUUUAGUAGGAUUAGUUGUUAUAAAUGUCGUUAGGAUCAAUCCCAUCCAAUUUGUUUUUCGAAAUUCCAAUUUUGAAAUUCUGAGCUGAAAAUAAUGACAAAAAUACCCCUGCGACAGUUUUCGACCCGAUAAUUUUUCUGAGAGUUUCCCUGGCCUAGAUAUCGCCUAAGAAUACCUUGGAAUUGAUUUAGAUCGAAGAAAAAGUUCGAAAACCCUAUUUUCUAUAGUGGCCGAAACCUAUUUGCUUGGGUACCGUGUCCAAAAAUAAUUUUCGGGUCUCUAUGACCUGAGCCAUUCCGUAGCUCUUUCAAUUGUCGAAAUUUUGGCGCCGGUUUCGUGUCAUUCCGAGUUCUGUAGCUCGAGUUAUGCACGUUUUAGCGAAUAAAGUGUUUUUGUACAAAACUUGAAUCGAGUCAAAACUCUUCCAUUCGUGGAAAGCCCUUCCAUUCGUGCCUAAAUGUUGUACUCUGAAGCUUCUUGAGCUUCGUCGAACAUUAGUUAGGAUUGUUUUGACUGUAUCGACUUGUUUUGAUUCAUUAUUGCUUUGCUUGCUCAAAGGUUCAAUUGUGGAAACUUUGGGAUUGACUGAACAAGCUUGUGAGCGAGACCUGCACCACGAGACCAGAACAACUCGAGGUUAGGGCAACUUACUUACUAGCUAAUGAUUUAUAGGCGUCGAUAAAUUCGACUUGAAUAUUGCUUGAUAUUGAAUAUUGCUUGUUAUUGAAUAUUGCUUGGGUAUUGUUGAUCGUUUGAAAUUGGAAAGUUUUUUUCUGGAGGCUUUGGCCGAGUGAACUUAUAUGAGACGUGUGUCUCCGUUUUCUGAGAGGCUUCGGCCGUUUACUGGUUUCUAUCUUAUGAUUCCCGCACCAUACUCUUAUUGCAUCGCUCUUUAGAGCUGAAUAUUGUUGAAUUGAUAUCGAAUUGUGCGUGUUGACGCGAUUGCGGAGCGUAGGACAUUUGAGUUGAUGUUGUUGAUCUUUCGGGUUGAGAGGAAACCCUAGGCAGGUCCUGACCUUAGGUCUGAGAUCUAGCCCUCUUUGAACACUUAGACUUUUCCGGGGAUUAUAUUUGGGGGAUUUGGGAAACUUUGAAUAGUUGGAAUUUGGAACUUGAGAAUUUAUGGAACUUGGAUUUCGAUAAUAAACCUCAUAACUUGAUUAACUCCACUUGAAAUGCUUUGAUUAAUUAACGAGACCUUUAGGAAAAUUUAAGACUUGGAAAUGAUUGUGAAAAACGGGAAAUAGUCGAAAAGCCUUGAACUUGAGAUGAUUUGAUGGUCGUCACGAGGAUGAACCAUAGUGACCAUGGAAAUGUCACUGAGUGCAAUAUGUACUCCGACUUUUCACAGCCUAGUCGCAAGACGACUUUGAUCUUCGGGUCCUUUUAAAUUGAGACUUGUGGUUAAACUCGUACGUGUGAGGACGAUUCGAUGUUUUGUUAACCAUAUUGCAUUAUGCAUAUGUUUGGGGUUUGGGACGGUCAGAAGACUGGGCCUUCACGAAGAACACCAAGGGUGUAUCUUCGACUUUGCGGCGCGAAUCCGUAUGUCCAAACCCGACGGGUUGGGCCGAUUCGGCAAUAAUUGUUGACACGCGCGAAUCCGUAUAUUCAAUCCGAUGGAUUGGAUCGAUUCGGCGGUAGUCACUCAGGCACGCGUGAGUCCGUAUGUUCAAUCCGAUGGAUUGGAUCGAUUCAGCGAUUGCCAUUUUACCUCGCGUGAAUCCGUAUGUUCAAUCCGAGGGAUUGGAUCGAUUCAGCGACAACUUUUCGACACGCGCGGAUCCGUAUGUUCAAUCCGAUGGAUUGGAUCUAUUCGGCGGUAGUCAUUGGACACGCGCAACGUCCGUAUGUUCGACUCUUUUGAGUGAACCGACUUGGCGUUGUCAUUCGUUGCAUGUGCGAGUCCGUAUGUUCAACCCGAUGGGUUGGAUCGACUCGACAUGCCUAAUUGUGGGAGUUGCGUGUGCGAGUCCGUAUGUUCAACCCAAGGGGUUUGAUCGACUUGACAUGCCUAAUUGUUGGGAUAAUCUUCUGAGUUGACAUUGCAUGCAUACAUGCACCCCUACUGAUUUAUUGAGUCAUUGUUUAUUGAACUGUUGAGAUAGCAGAUAUCGAAUUGUUUAUUAGAGCCUUGAUAACAUGCUAUGUAUAUACCUUAGGGUAGGCAAUACAUAAAUUACAUGUAGAUAUACAACAUAUAUAUAUAUAUAUAUAUAUAUAUAUAUAUAUAUAUAUAUAUAUAUACCCCCUUAUUCUUCACAUGUUGUUUGUAUUAUCUAUUUUAUUCCGUGAGUUGACCCUAGCGCCUUGGCUUUGUUUGUAUGUUUGUGUUUGGGCGGUCGGCCUGCUGCCAGGCGUCCGUCAGUCGAUUCGUGAUGACUCGUCACUCGAGGAGGACCAGGAGCGUAAUGAUUAUUACUGAAGCUUUCGACGAGGACCCGGACUGAAUGCAUGACCAGAUGAGGGUCGAUGAUGGAAGCAUAGGGUAUGGGUGUUUAGAGCCUACUAAGGUUGGGUGUUAGUGUCAUAGCUCUGAAUCGUCAUUUGUACUUUUGGGACAGGGUAGUUUCCGACAGAUUGCUUUUCGGUGUGGUUCUCCGUUGAUGGGAAUCGCAUGGUGUAGUCGGACGUAAGAAGUCUUUUUGGAAGCCGUUUUGGGCUGACUUACUUUUCGAAGGACUGUAUUUAUAAAACUUAUGACUCUAUUUAUGAGUCGCACUUGUUUGCCGUUGGGCAACACUUUUAGUUACUUGAUGUUACUUUCCGUCACUUGAGGACACUCGUGACGAUGUUUUUAGUUGCAGCGAGGGCUGUGCUUGUAUUGUAUAUUAAUCGCUGUUAAUCGCGAUUGGGUUGAGUCUUUAUUUCGACAAGUCUUUUUAUUUAAACAAAAACGAAAAAAAAAUACCUGCUUUUCCACUUUACUUUAUUUUAUUUUCGAGUUACUAAAG
This 8268-nucleotide long non-coding RNA is filed under the name Lotus japonicus. Its description in RNAcentral is "long non-coding RNA (LJAP_LNC002038)". The record is from RNAcentral. Lineage: Eukaryota; Viridiplantae; Streptophyta; Magnoliopsida; Fabales; Fabaceae.